UCGCAGGUCAGCAUACUGCGGUGAAUACGUUCCCGGGCCUUGUACACACCGCCCGUCACACCAUGGAAGUUGGCCAUGCCCGAAGUCGUUACUCCAACCCUUGUGGAGGAGGACGCCGAAGGUGGGGCUAAUGACUGGGGUGAAGUCGUAACAAGGUAGCCGUACCGGAAGGUGCGGCUGGAUCACCUCCUAA
This 193-nucleotide ribosomal RNA is filed under the name Gammaproteobacteria bacterium. Its description in RNAcentral is "partial 16S ribosomal RNA". It matches the Rfam family "Bacterial small subunit ribosomal RNA", at positions 1342 to 1533 of the family's 1533-position model. Lineage: Bacteria; Pseudomonadati; Pseudomonadota; Gammaproteobacteria. The record is from RNAcentral.